Molecule: long non-coding RNA, 697 nt
Organism: Armigeres subalbatus
Lineage: Eukaryota; Metazoa; Arthropoda; Insecta; Diptera; Culicidae
Exons: 3
Source: RefSeq, a predicted model, not a curated record
UUUUUUGAUGAUCUAUGAAACUGUCUAAAAAGGGGUAAUUUUAAAAGUUGUUCAAUGGGUAAAAAAAUACCCAUGUUCAAAAUUAGAAAGAAGUUUAAAAAUGUGCAUUUUUUUACCCAUUAAUGGGUGAAAAAAUAGUUGCGAAUAUUUUCAAAUUGUUUUUCUGUUUUCUCCCGGUUGAAAAAUUCAAUCAAUGAGCCCUCGUAUGGACGUCAUCGAAAGUAUGGAGUUCCAGAGGAAAAUAGUUCCUUCCAGGCUGUCUCAGGUUUUUGCCAGCCUGAACCAAAAUCACAACAGGUUUCCGAUUUCACAACAGGUGUAACAGAACGCGCGACCGGCAGAAAACGCGGAUCAUCGUCCGGAGACAAACCAUCGCAAUCAUGGACAAGAUUAUCACCUGUCAUAAGCAUCCGGACUCCGGAUCAAGCCUGAAGCAGUCAUCACAACUUUUUGGAUUUUUAAUAGUGACUUAACUUGUUUGUGCUCUUAUAUUAACAAGAAGAUUAAUAAAAAUGUGUUUUUUUACUGAUUUUUAAUUUUACUGCAAAAAAUCCGCAAAAUUCCGAAAUUCCGGUGGUAAAAUUCAUUCUGAAAAAAUGGGUAUUUAUUUACCCAUUAUGCAAAGAAACAGUUUUGGCAUGAUGGGUAAAAUUAUACCCAUCUUUUGACAGAAAGUCGAUUUACCCAUUAAUGAGUA